UUGCUCCUGGAUUCAGCGGCGGACGGGUGAGUAAUGCCUAGGAAUCUGCCUGGUAGUGGGGGAUAACGUCCGGAAACGGGCGCUAAUACCGCAUACGUCCUGAGGGAGAAAGUGGGGGAUCUUCGGACCUCACGCUAUCAGAUGAGCCUAGGUCGGAUUAGCUAGUUGGUGGGGUAAAGGCCUACCAAGGCGACGAUCCGUAACUGGUCUGAGAGGAUGAUCAGUCACACUGGAACUGAGACACGGUCCAGACUCCUACGGGAGGCAGCAGUGGGGAAUAUUGGACAAUGGGCGAAAGCCUGAUCCAGCCAUGCCGCGUGUGUGAAGAAGGUCUUCGGAUUGUAAAGCACUUUAAGUUGGGAGGAAGGGCAGUAAGUUAAUACCUUGCUGUUUUGACGUUACCUACAGAAUAAGCACCGGCUAACUUCGUGCCAGCAGCCGCGGUAAUACGAAGGGUGCAAGCGUUAAUCGGAAUUACUGGGCGUAAAGCGCGCGUAGGUGGUUCAGCAAGUUGGAUGUGAAAUCCCCGGGCUCAACCUGGGAACUGCAUCCAAAACUACUGAGCUAGAGUACGGUAGAGGGUGGUGGAAUUUCCUGUGUAGCGGUGAAAUGCGUAGAUAUAGGAAGGAACACCAGUGGCGAAGGCGACCACCUGGACUGAUACUGACACUGAGGUGCGAAAGCGUGGGGAGCAAACAGGAUUAGAUAUCCUGGUAGUCCACGCCGUAAACGAUGUCGACUAGCCGUUGGGAUCCUUGAGAUCUUAGUGGCGCAGC
This 776-nucleotide ribosomal RNA is filed under the name uncultured Pseudomonadaceae bacterium. RNAcentral's name for it is "SSU rRNA". It matches the Rfam family "Bacterial small subunit ribosomal RNA", at positions 80 to 852 of the family's 1533-position model. The record is from RNAcentral. Lineage: Bacteria; Pseudomonadati; Pseudomonadota; Gammaproteobacteria; Pseudomonadales; Pseudomonadaceae.